RNAcentral lists this long non-coding RNA (481 nucleotides) under Carica papaya (papaya). Its description in RNAcentral is "long non-coding RNA (CPAP_LNC004876)". The record is from RNAcentral. Lineage: Eukaryota; Viridiplantae; Streptophyta; Magnoliopsida; Brassicales; Caricaceae.
GGCUCCUAUUCUCCUUCCUGCUCAGCUACUCUUCUUCUCUUCUCUUCCUUUUUUUUUCUCUUUUCCCUUCUUUUUUUCCGACCUCCCUUUUCUUUUCCUCUCUUUUUUCCUUCCUCUCGGCUUCUGUCAUGCUACAAUCUCCUCUCUUCCCUCUCUCGCUCGACCAUUUUUUUUCUCCUUCCACUCUCUUUCUUCGGGCUCCCUCUUCCUUUCCUCUCCUUAUUUCUUCCUCUUAGCUUCCCCCACGCGACAAUCUCCUCUCUUCCCUCUCACCCAAUUGGCUCACUUCUUUUUCUCAUCCUCUCUCUUUUCCAGCUACUCACCUAAAUGAAGAGAAACCCUAAAUGUUUCCUUUUUAUACCCGUCAUCCCCAACCGUUAGAUCUCACUGGUUCAAUCUGGGUCGUCCAUUCUCAAUUAAAUAUCAGCUACUUGAUCUUUUCAAACAGUUUGAUCAGGACUGUCCUUUCUUUGAUUUCUUU